RNAcentral lists this transfer RNA (72 nucleotides) under Camelus bactrianus (Bactrian camel). It matches the Rfam family "tRNA". Rfam says of the family: Transfer RNA (tRNA) molecules are approximately 80 nucleotides in length. Their secondary structure includes four short double-helical elements and three loops (D, anti-codon, and T loops). RNAcentral also lists the same sequence under 2 other names. Lineage: Eukaryota; Metazoa; Chordata; Mammalia; Artiodactyla; Camelidae. The record is from Rfam by way of RNAcentral.
GAAGGUAUAGCUCAGUGGUGGAGCACGUGCUCAGCACGCACAAGGUCCUGGGCUCAAUCCCUACUACCUCCA